CAGCCGACCACGGUCGGGUCAGCGACUGGGGUGAAGUCGUAACAAGGUAGCCGUAGGGGAACCUGCGGCUGGAUCACCUCCUUU
This 84-nucleotide ribosomal RNA is filed under the name Wolbachia endosymbiont of Drosophila tristis. RNAcentral's name for it is "partial 16S ribosomal RNA". It matches the Rfam family "Bacterial small subunit ribosomal RNA", at positions 1450 to 1533 of the family's 1533-position model. The record is from RNAcentral. Lineage: Bacteria; Pseudomonadati; Pseudomonadota; Alphaproteobacteria; Rickettsiales; Anaplasmataceae.